AGCAUAUGAACGCGUCUCCAU
RNAcentral lists this non-coding RNA (21 nucleotides) under Caenorhabditis elegans. The record is from RNAcentral. Lineage: Eukaryota; Metazoa; Nematoda; Chromadorea; Rhabditida; Rhabditidae.